RNAcentral lists this ribosomal RNA (332 nucleotides) under uncultured marine eukaryote. RNAcentral's name for it is "SSU rRNA". It matches the Rfam family "Eukaryotic small subunit ribosomal RNA", at positions 613 to 949 of the family's 1831-position model. The record is from RNAcentral.
UUGCGGUUAAAAAGCUCGUAGUUGGAUUUCUGCCGAGGACGACCGGUCCGCCCAUAGGGUGAGUAUCUGGUUCGGCCUGGGCAUCUUCUUGGAGAACGUAGCUGCACUUGACUGUGUGGUGCGGUACCCAGGACUUUUACUUUGAGGAAAUUAGAGUGUUUCAAGCAGGCUUACGCCUUGAAUACAUUAGCAUGGAAUAAUAAUAUAGGACCUCGGUUCUAUUUUGUUGGUUUCUAGAGCUGAGGUAAUGAUUAAUAGGGAUAGUUGGGGGCAUUCGUAUUUAACUGUCAGAGGUGAAAUUCUUGGAUUUGUUAAAGACGGACUACUGCGAA